CCGACGACAGGCGUAAACGCGUCAAUACGCGAAACGUGUCACGCGAAACAACGAGACGUGCAAUUUUUUGUUCUGCCGAACAGGUAGAGAAUCGGCAGAAAAAGGCUCUACUUCAAAGUACACAACCUUGUGUGGUCAUGUAAUGUCGCGGUAAAUUAUCCACUACGGCGCAUCAUUUUAAACAGCUGUGACAUCGAAGCUCCAACCGGAUAAUACGUAGUUCAAUUUUAAGUCGCACAAUUUCUUUUUUUUUUAAAUACAUCAAUACAAAGUACAUUACAUCGCCAAAUAAUGUCUAAAUUAUCGAUUGUUCGAACCUUAUUUAACGGAGAACAAACAGCCGAGCAGAUACUGCGCGCGAGAGAAACCGAGGAGAGGAAGAAACGUCUCUCGCGGAACAGCAUUCGGGGAUUUUAACGGACGGCCGUUAGGAUCUCCACGUCGGCGUCCCCGCCGAGGAUCAUGGCAGGACCCGGAGACAACGCGACGACAGCCGAGAGGCACGGACACGUCAGAAUCCGUAUUUCGGACAAAGGAGCGAAAGAGAGGGAGAGAAAGAGAGCCGAAGGGAGACGGACCGAACUAGUAAACACUAGAGAUGAUGUGACUCGUCGAAGGGGGCUACCGUAGUGUUCGAGUUCGCCACGCUUCCUUUUUAUCGAGCAACCGAUGUAAGAAGCGAGAUAAGGAUACGUGUAGCGAUAACGAGCCACGAUAUCCCGCAGCAGGUGAAAACACCAUCUGGUCCGGACGGGGCGACGAGGAGGACGAAAAAAAUGACACUGUCAAAACGUCGCGCGAUCCUAACGCGAUGGUAAUCGAGGAUUUCGAAAUCGGAGCCGCCGCGGUAACAGGAACUGCUCCGAAAAACGGUGACCGUGCCCGGACGUGUCUUGGACCUUCCCGGACAACAGACAGGGACGUUUUGAACGGAUACGUACCUCUCCGAUUGAACGGCCGGACCCGUACGGCAACCUUUAUUUUAUCCGUAGCCAUGAUUUCACACCGGUAACGCGCACUGUAUAUCCCGAUCACAAGGAACUGCUCGAUGCUUUUUUAUACACAAAUAGAAUCUUCACACGAUCUUCAUAGCGCUACAUUAUUCUCAACCCAUACCGCGAACCUUUCAUCUUUUCAAACGGCACUACGUCUCACCGAGCCCAUGACACACUUCGCCAUAUUGCUUGAAGCUCGUCGUGCACCAGACGACAGUCGUUCUAUCGAGUGAACGUACUUUCGAGAACUGCCGCUAGGAACGCUCGAGAGCUCGAGCACUGUGACGUCACCUCGUGACGGAAUCAACCGUUGCCAAUCUCAGGCUGCCGAAAUCCUCCAGACUCGAAAAUCGCUGUGUUAUCGACCUCGCGGAUUUUCUAUGUUAUCGAUCGUUCGUUUGGAUUUUUCGUCCGAUUCGUUAGCACAGUGUACAAAAUAGUUGCUUGCGAUUCAAAAAUGAAAGAUAUAAUAAUUCUGCUUUCUUUUUGAAUUAGAUGAGUUAUGAAACAUGUACUGUGAAGUAUUUUUACGCAUUAUCAAAUUGUUCGAUCGUUUGAUACGUUUAUAAACUGCGUCGAAAUGUUGAAGGGUCGGUUCAUUUUUUUUAAAUUAUUUUACUGAAUAUCCUAUUGCGCGCCAUCUGACGAAGAAAUUUCGUACGAAACAAUCGAUGCGGCUGUCGAUCAAUAAAGCAUAUUCAAAAUGUUCCAACCUACGAACAUUUUAAUGCUGCAGGAAAAAUUAUUUUAUCGAGCUUCUCUCUUGCAAUAAAUUCGUUGAUUACUUAUGGAA
Megalopta genalis is the source of this 1788-nucleotide non-coding RNA. NCBI's taxonomy places the organism in Eukaryota, Metazoa, Arthropoda, Insecta, Hymenoptera, Halictidae. The record is from RefSeq and is a predicted model, not a curated record.